This 491-nucleotide ribosomal RNA is filed under the name uncultured bacterium. Its description in RNAcentral is "partial 16S ribosomal RNA". It matches the Rfam family "Bacterial small subunit ribosomal RNA", at positions 29 to 506 of the family's 1533-position model. The record is from RNAcentral.
AGUGAACGCUGGCGGUAGGCCUAACACAUGCAAGUCGAACGGCAGCACAGUAAGAGCUUGCUCUUACGGGUGGCGAGUGGCGGACGGGUGAGGAAUACAUCGGAAUCUACUUUUUCGUGGGGGAUAACGUAGGGAAACUUACGCUAAUACCUCAUACGACCUACGGGUGAAAGCAGGGGAUCUUCGGACCUUGCGCGAUUGAAUGAGCCGAUGUCGGAUUAGCUAGUUGGCGGGGUAAAGGCCCACCAAGGCGACGAUCCGUAGCUGGUCUGAGAGGAUGAUCAGCCACACUGGAACUGAGACACGGUCCAGACUCAUACGGGAGGCAGCAGUGGGGAAUAUUGGACAAUGGGCGCAAGCCUGAUCCAGCCAUACCGCGUGGGUGAAGAAGGCCUUCGGGUUGUAAAGCCCUUUUGUUGGGAAAGAAAAGCAGCAGGUUAAUACCCCGCUGUUCUGACGGUACCCAAAGAAUAAGCACCGGCUAACUUCGU